UGCUUAACACAUGCAAGUCGAACGGGGUCCAACCUUCGGGUGAAGACCUAGUGGCGAACGGGUGAGUAACACGUGAGAAACCUGUCCCAAAGUCUGGGAUAAGCCAGGGAAACUUGGUCUAAUGCCGGAUGUCCUUAUUAAGUCUUAUGUCUUUAUAAGGAAAGUUUUUCGCUUUGGGAGGGUCUCGCGGCCUAUCAGCUUGUUGGUGAGGUAAUGGCUCACCAAGGCUUCGACGGGUAGCUGGUCUGAGAGGAUGAUCAGCCACACUGGGACUGAGACACGGCCCAGACUCCUACGGGAGGCAGCAGUGGGGAAUCUUGCGCAAUGGGCGAAAGCCUGACGCAGCAACGCCGCGUGAGGGAUGAAGGCUCUCGGGUUGUAAACCUC
This 387-nucleotide ribosomal RNA is filed under the name uncultured organism. RNAcentral's name for it is "bacterial SSU rRNA". It matches the Rfam family "Bacterial small subunit ribosomal RNA", at positions 45 to 433 of the family's 1533-position model. The record is from RNAcentral.